GAGCGGGAGAGCGCGAAGCUGGGCCUGUCGGUGUCAGAUGCGGCCCUCCCUGAGGAGGGAGAAGCCCUCACCGUCAGGAGCUUUUGCCUGUGGGAAGAGUAAGGGUCUGUCGCUCAUCUCUAACGUUUACAGGUUCCAGGUACUCAGGAGGCUGAGGCAGGAAGAUUACUUGAGACCACAAGUUCAAGGCUGGCCUGGCCAACACACCAAGGCCCUAUUUAAAACAAAUGAAAAAUCGUAGAGCACUGACCUAACAGACAUGAGGCCCGGAAUUGAAUCACCAGCAGUGCAAAGUUUCCCGGUGUAUUUAUUGCCUCAGCUCGGGAUCCGUCCUCCAGUCCACUGGCUCCUACGCGAGGCACCGUUAAGCAGAGGCGAUAUCACACCCCGGAGCACGGCUGAGGCCAGCCGCCCUCACAGCCGUGAAUGGCAGCGUCUGGCGGUGCGGAAACUGGUUUCUGGAGUGACUUGCAGUGUGUUGCGCUCAGCUGGACGGUGACUAUGGUGGCAGCCCUGUCUCGAGGUGCACGGUGUCCUGACUGAAACAACUCCACGUGGUUCCUGGUGUGCGAUAACUCACGAAAGGCUCAGGCUCUGGUGCCCCUGUCUACUCUCCACUUCCAUGAAAUCAACUUUGUAGCUUUCGUAACUUUUCUUCUGUAUUUUUCAGAACUACUUCUCAUUUCCAGCAGUGAUCUAAUUUGGCCCCUUCAAAAUUCAGAGUAAAAUUCACUCAUUCACUCACCAGCAUUAACGCUCUGUACAAUAAAAUGUGGAUCCAGAGCUGAAUGGUGAAGACUGCAGUUGGCAUUAUCCAUACCUUUGGUUACUCAGCUUCAGUAGGCAUCUUUCUACACAUGAGGACACCUGCACAACCAUGAAACAACUCUUGUUUUGACCACAUAAAAUACAGCCAUCAGCUGCCACAGUGGCACAUACUUGUAAUCCCAGCUACUCGGGAGGCUGAGGCAGGAGCAUCACAAAUUUGAGUAAGACCACGUCUCAAAGCAAAAUUUAUUUAUUUAUUUAAUGGUGGCAACAGUAUUUAAUGUUUUUUAGAGGUAGGAAAAAAAAGCCAGAAGAGUAGGGAGAGAAAGUAAGUUCUGCAAAAUAAGCUUGGGCCAAAUAAAAGUAGGAAAAAAUAAAAAUACACAUUACAGCGAAGGGUGAGCUACCAUGAAGAGACUAUCCUCAAAACAAAACUUGAAAGGGUCAGUCCUUAGCACCACAAAUAACUACACAUCAUACUAUAGCUAUACAUAGCUACCCUUCAUAUAAAUGAAGUUUU
Long non-coding RNA from Heterocephalus glaber (naked mole-rat), 1288 nucleotides. NCBI's taxonomy places the organism in Eukaryota, Metazoa, Chordata, Mammalia, Rodentia, Bathyergidae. The record is from Ensembl.